GACGAACGCUGGCGGCGUGCCUAACACAUGCAAGUCGAACGGAAAGGCCCUGCUUUUGUGGGGUGCUCGAGUGGCGAACGGGUGAGUAACACGUGAGUAACCUGCCUUUGACUUUGGGAUAACUUCAGGAAACUGGGGCUAAUACCGGAUAGGAGCUCCUGCUGCAUGGUGGGGGUUGGAAAGUUUCGGCGGUUGGGGAUGGACUCGCGGCUUAUCAGCUUGUUGGUGGGGUAGUGGCUUACCAAGGCUUCGACGGGUAGCCGGCAUGAGAGGGUGACCGGCCACAAGAGGACUGAGAUACGGCCCAGACGGCAACGGGAGGCAGCAGUGGAAAAUAUUGCACAAUGGGCGGAAGCCUGAUGCAGAAACGCCGCGUGCGGGAUGACGGCCUUCGGGUUGUAAAGCGCUGUCGCCUGUGACGAAGCGUGAGUGACGGUAAUGGGUAAAGAAGCACCGGCUAACUACGUG
RNAcentral lists this ribosomal RNA (468 nucleotides) under uncultured bacterium. RNAcentral's name for it is "partial 16S ribosomal RNA". It matches the Rfam family "Bacterial small subunit ribosomal RNA", at positions 28 to 507 of the family's 1533-position model. The record is from RNAcentral.